AUUGAACGCUGGCGGCAGGCCUAACACAUGCAAGUCGAACGGUAACAGAUGAUAGCUUGCUAUCAUGCUGACGAACGGCGGACGGGUGAGUAAUGCCUGGGAAUAUGCCCUGAUGUGGGGGAUAACUAUUGGAAACGAUAGCUAAUACCGCAUAAUCUCUUCGGAGCAAAGAGGGGGACCUUCGGGCCUCUCGCGUCAGGAUUAGCCCAGGUGGGAUUAGCUUGUUGGUGGGGUAAUGGCUCACCAAGGCAACGAUCCCUAGCUGGUCUGAGAGGAUGAUCAGCCACACUGGAACUGAGACACGGUCCAGACUCCUACGGGAGGCAGCAGUGGGGAAUAUUGCACAAUGGGGGAAACCCUGAUGCAGCCAUGCCGCGUGUAUGAAGAAGGCCUACGGGUUGUAAAGUACUUUCAGUUGUGAGGAAGGCAGUGAAGUUAAUAGCUUCACUGUUUGACGUUAGCAACAGAAGAAGCACCGGCUAACUCCGUGCCAGCAGCCGCGGUAAU
This 507-nucleotide ribosomal RNA is filed under the name uncultured bacterium. RNAcentral describes it as "bacterial SSU rRNA". It matches the Rfam family "Bacterial small subunit ribosomal RNA", at positions 30 to 524 of the family's 1533-position model. The record is from RNAcentral.